UACGUAGGGGGCAAGCGUUGUCCGGAUUUAUUGGGCGUAAAGAGCGUGUAGGCGGUUUGGUAGGUCCGCUGUGAAAACUCGAGGCUCAACCUCGACGACGCCGGUGGAAACCAUCAGACUAGAGUCCGGAAGAGGAGAGUGGAAUUCCUGGUGUAGCGGUGAAAUGCGCAGAUAUCAGGAAGAACACCCGUGGCUAAGGCGGCUCUCUAGUACGGUACUGACGCUGAGACGCGAAAGCGUGGGGAGCGAACAGG
RNAcentral lists this ribosomal RNA (254 nucleotides) under uncultured bacterium. RNAcentral's name for it is "partial 16S ribosomal RNA". It matches the Rfam family "Bacterial small subunit ribosomal RNA", at positions 524 to 776 of the family's 1533-position model. The record is from RNAcentral.